Nomascus leucogenys (northern white-cheeked gibbon) is the source of this 148-nucleotide non-coding RNA. It matches the Rfam family "Metazoan signal recognition particle RNA". Rfam says of the family: The signal recognition particle (SRP) is a universally conserved ribonucleoprotein. It is involved in the co-translational targeting of proteins to membranes. The record is from Rfam. NCBI's taxonomy places the organism in Eukaryota, Metazoa, Chordata, Mammalia, Primates, Hylobatidae.
GCUGGGUGUGGUGGUGCACACCCGUAAUCCCAGCUACUUGGGAGGCUGAGACAGGAGAAUCACUUGAUUCUGGGAGACGAGGGCUGCAGUGAGCCGAGAUCAUGCCACUGCACUUCAGCCUGGGUGACAGAGUGAGACUCCGUCUCAA